RNAcentral lists this unclassified non-coding RNA (148 nucleotides) under uncultured Epicoccum. RNAcentral's name for it is "sequence contains ITS1". Lineage: Eukaryota; Fungi; Ascomycota; Dothideomycetes; Pleosporales; Leptosphaeriaceae. The record is from RNAcentral.
GCGAUGAAAGCCCCCCUUGAGGGGGCACCCCAUCACUACCCUUGCCUUUGAGUACCUUCUGUUUCCUCGGCGGGUUCGCCCGCCAAUGGGGACUAAUCCCAAACUCUUUGCAGUAGGCAGUGCAGUCUGAAAAAAAAGUAAACUUUUA